GCCUCCUUAGCUCAGUUGGUAGAGCGACCGCCUUGUAAGCGGUAGGUCGUCGGUUCGAAUCCGACAGGUGGCUCCA
This 76-nucleotide transfer RNA is filed under the name Candidatus Peregrinibacteria bacterium RIFOXYB2_FULL_32_7. Its description in RNAcentral is "tRNA-Thr". It matches the Rfam family "tRNA". Rfam says of the family: Transfer RNA (tRNA) molecules are approximately 80 nucleotides in length. Their secondary structure includes four short double-helical elements and three loops (D, anti-codon, and T loops). Further hydrogen bonds mediate the characteristic L-shaped molecular structure. tRNAs have two regions of fundamental functional importance: the anti-codon, which is responsible for specific mRNA codon recognition, and the 3' end, to which the tRNAs corresponding amino acid is attached (by aminoacyl-tRNA synthetases). tRNAs cope with the degeneracy of the genetic code in two manners: having more than one tRNA (with a specific anti-codon) for a particular amino acid; and 'wobble' base-pairing, i.e. permitting non-standard base-pairing at the 3rd anti-codon position. Lineage: Bacteria; Candidatus Peregrinibacteriota. The record is from RNAcentral.